This 253-nucleotide ribosomal RNA is filed under the name uncultured bacterium. RNAcentral describes it as "partial 16S ribosomal RNA". It matches the Rfam family "Bacterial small subunit ribosomal RNA", at positions 524 to 776 of the family's 1533-position model. The record is from RNAcentral.
GACAGAGGUGCCGAGCGUUAGGCGGAAUCACUGGGCUUAAAGCGUGUGUAGGCGGACUUCUAAGUACCUUGUGAAAUCCCACGGCUCAACCGUGGAACUGCUCGGUAUACUGGUCGUCUUGAGCCACCUAGGGGCGAGCGGAACAAGCGGUGGAGCGGUGAAAUGCGUAGAUAUCAAGUGGAACACCAGUGGCGAAGGCGAGUCCCUGGACAACUCCUGACACUGAGGCACGAAAGCUAGGGGAGCAAACAGG